This 641-nucleotide long non-coding RNA is filed under the name Homo sapiens (human). RNAcentral describes it as "HSALNT0350547". The record is from RNAcentral. Lineage: Eukaryota; Metazoa; Chordata; Mammalia; Primates; Hominidae.
CUGGCGCGUGCGCGGCGUCGGAGCAAGCGGCCCCUUCCUUCGGCCCCGCCCAGCCCCGCCGGCCGCCCGCUCCCUGGGGAACCGAGGGAGGAAUGGGCGGGGUCCUCAGGUCCUUCCAAAGUGCCUACGGAAAGCUUUGUCCCAUCCUUGAAAAAUUGCUAAUGGGUUUGGAGAUACGAGGUGGAGAUGACUAGCAAUCAAACUCAAAGGUGGAAGUCACAUCGAGGCAGAUGAGCAGAUGAGGGGACCUAGAGAAGAAGAGAGGUGCAAGGAGAGCCCAGCCAGCAGGAACAUCUGCCCCAGUAGGCAGCACUGCCCCACAUCAGAGUCGAGGAAAGCAAAGCUCGGAUUGGAUAAAAGAAACUUGCAAACACGGUCAGUGCUUACUGCAUGUGGGCUCAGAGCACGUUACCCUCCUUCCCUGCAUGUUCCUGUGAAACGGGUUUACUGCUCUAACUCUCAGGGACACUGUGAAGACCAAACGAGAAAAUAGAAACAAACAUAAUUUAUAAACCAUAAAGUACUGACACCAAAAGAGGGGCGAGCACAGCAUUGUGAAUGUGCUGGUACUAAAUGGUUUGUUUUAAGAUGAUUUUAUGGUGUGUGAAUUUCACUUGAAUAAAUUUUUUUAAUGGAGUUCA